UAUUUAUUCCUACGUGAGCAGACCCAGUACAGUUCUUGCAUAUAAACAGUGAAAAUUCCAAUAUAAAGGAUUUAUUAUACCUUCUUUUGGAGUAACAUUAGUGCUAGCCAGAACCUUGCCUACUAUGUAAGCCUAAGAAGAUACAUUUUCUGCGGGUAAUCCCAAAGCUUUCAGGCGCAACUUCUACCGCACUGGCCAAGACCUCAACAACUGCAGCACUUGCCAGAACACUGCAUGUAUCAUUUACAGUGUGGAAUAUGACUUCAGACAACAAGAAGGCAGAUUUCAUCAGGUUUUGAAAACACUGGAUCAAGUGGAGCAAACACCUGCCACGGCUCCAGCCCCCAAAUUACCACCUGACCAUCCAAUUCCUGAGAAACAGGAAUUAAGACGAAAAACAAAAAAGGUGAAAAAGAAAUGCUUCUGGUGGAUGUGAAUGUCUUUUAGCUGACAUACAGAAUUGAAGGACUACAUUUCAGAAGAUAUUAAAACAUAUAUACAGAGGCUUUAAUAUGUACAACUGUGAAAUCACAAACAGGAAACUAAAAAAUGUCUAAGAAGGUAUUUGAAAACUCAAAAGCUUAGAAUGGAAUUUACUCAUUUAACAAGCU
Trachemys scripta elegans is the source of this 611-nucleotide long non-coding RNA. RefSeq lists it as uncharacterized. The transcript is spliced from 3 exons. Lineage: Eukaryota; Metazoa; Chordata; Testudines; Emydidae. The record is from RefSeq and is a predicted model, not a curated record.